Molecule: ribosomal RNA, 253 nt
Filed under: uncultured bacterium
Lineage: Bacteria
Description: partial 16S ribosomal RNA
Rfam family: Bacterial small subunit ribosomal RNA
Source: RNAcentral
UACAGAGGUGGCAAGCGUUGUUCGGAAUUACUGGGCGUAAAGGGCGCGUAGGCGGCCAUCUAAGUCAGACGUGAAAUCCCCCGGCUUAACCUGGGAACUGCGUCUGAUACUGGAAGGCUUGAGUAUGGGAGAGGGAUGUAGAAUUCCAGGUGUAGCGGUGAAAUGCGUAGAUAUCUGGAGGAAUACCGGUGGCGAAGGCGGCAUCCUGGACCAUUACUGACGCUGAGGCGCGAAAUCUAGGGGAGCAAACGGG